Molecule: long non-coding RNA, 260 nt
Organism: Papilio polytes (common Mormon)
Lineage: Eukaryota; Metazoa; Arthropoda; Insecta; Lepidoptera; Papilionidae
Exons: 3
Source: RefSeq, a predicted model, not a curated record
GCCCGCGCCGCCGCCCGCGCCACCAACAGUGCAUUCUUCGGGCGCAUCGGCAAUUUUUUAAAAAUAUUGCAAACUUAUGAAAAAGUUGCCGGUCCGGCGGAGGGCGGAGCGCCGGCAGCCGGGGCGCCGCUACCGCGCGACAUCGCCGACCUGCUGCAGGAGGUAGAAGCGAUAUCGCGGUGGAUAGACGAGGUGCGCGGCGACUCGCAGCUCAUCCGCCGACUGCACUCCGACCCCACAUACCACGCCAACGAUCGUAA